AGCUCCAAUAGCGUAUAUUAAAGUUGUUGCAGUUAAAAAGCUCGUAGUUGGAUUUCGGAACGGGCCAGUUGGUCCGCCGCAAGGUGAGUUACUGACUGGUCUGUUCUUCUUCGCAAAGACUGCGUGUGCUCUUCAUUGAGUGGGCGUAGGAUUUACGACGUUUACUUUGAAAAAAUUAGAGUGUUCAAAGCAGGCAAUCGCUUGAAUACAUGAGCAUGGAAUAAUGGAAUAGGACUUUGGUCCUAUUUUGUUGGUUUCUAGGACCGAAGUAAUGAUUAAGAGGGACAAUUGGGGGCAUCCGUAUUUCGUUGUCAGAGGUGAAAUUCUUGGAUUUACGAAAGACGAACAACUGCGAAAGCACUUGCCAAGAGUGUUUUCAUUAAUCAAGAACGAAAGUACG
RNAcentral lists this ribosomal RNA (400 nucleotides) under phytoplankton environmental sample. RNAcentral describes it as "partial small subunit ribosomal RNA". It matches the Rfam family "Eukaryotic small subunit ribosomal RNA", at positions 587 to 993 of the family's 1831-position model. The record is from RNAcentral.